This 459-nucleotide ribosomal RNA is filed under the name uncultured bacterium. RNAcentral describes it as "partial 16S ribosomal RNA". It matches the Rfam family "Bacterial small subunit ribosomal RNA", at positions 338 to 795 of the family's 1533-position model. The record is from RNAcentral.
CCUACGGGAGGCAGCAGUGAGGAAUAUUGGUCAAUGGGCGGGAGCCUGAACCAGCCAAGCCGCGUGAGGGAAGAAGGUACAGCGUAUCGUAAACCUCUUUUGUCAGGGAACAAAGUCGGGGACUAGUCCCCGGAUGAGGGUACCUGAAGAAAAAGCAUCGGCUAACUCCGUGCCAGCAGCCGCGGUAAUACGGAGGAUGCGAGCGUUAUCCGGAUUUAUGGGGGUUAAAGGGUGCGCAGGCGGCCUGUUCAGUCAGAGGUAAAAGCCCGGGGCUCAACCCCGGCGAGCCGUUGAAACUGGCGGGCUGGAGUUGGAGAGAAGUACGCGGAAUGCGCGGUGUAGCGGUGAAAUGCUUAGAUAUCGCGCAGAACCCCGAUUGCGAAGGCAGCGUACCGGCUCCACACUGACGCUGAGGCACGAAAGCGUGGGUAUCGAACAGGAUUAGAUACCCCAGUAGUC